Molecule: RNA transcript, 3383 nt
Organism: Ruditapes philippinarum (Manila clam)
Lineage: Eukaryota; Metazoa; Mollusca; Bivalvia; Venerida; Veneridae
Exons: 4
Source: RefSeq, a predicted model, not a curated record
UAGAAAAUUAGAAAUAUAUAUAGCCAUAGAGGGAAAAUACAUUUUACUGGUAAGUGAAGGACAAUAUUUAGUGUUUUGAGGCCUUUAUGAAUCGCGCAUGCGCUGUUAAAUUGAAGAAAAUAUCAGUAUGGCGGAGGUUAGUCCCGGAUAAGAUUUUUCUUAAAAUUUGAAGAAAUUGAUACCUGAAUCUAACCAGUUUCUGACCUCAAUUCAACCAAUACAAGGGGCAGGACGUGAAGUGGUUGCACACUUGGUUCAAGCGAGCGAAUUGGUUGCAAACUUGACAUUAUGGCAAACACGGCGUGAGUUUUUGAAAUGGGUAAACGAAUUUUUGCCAGGCAAAUGGGUUUCUUUGAUAUUUUAAAGUUCAUUAGUAUGUCUAUUCCAUAAUUCAAUAUAUAUGAAUAUAAAUAAUAUCAAUAAAUAAAUUUCAAAUUCAAUAAAUAUCACAUGUCAAAUUUCAAAAUAUCUACAUGAUCAAUUUAUAUCUUCAAUAACUUCGUCAAAACAGAAUCAAGGAUGCUGAAACCUUUAACCAAGUGUGGCAUAUAUAUUGCAUUAUGGAACAGACAUACCAAUGAACUUCAAAAUAACAAAGAAACCCACUUGCCUGGCAAAAAUUCGUUCACCCGUUUCAAAAAAUCACGCCAUAUUUGCCAUUAUGUCAAGUUUGCAACCAAUUCGCUCGCUUGAACCAAGUGUGCAACCACUUCACAUCCUGCCCCUUGCAAUAUAUAACAAUAAUGUAACUAAAAUGUGUCCAUAAUCUGACCAAAUUCAGACAUUCCGAAAAGUAACAGAAAUCAAGAUGGCACAUGAGAUACAUUUAAAGAACAACAAAUACCGGCAGUGGGUUAAGGCUGGCCUAGGCUUGGGUUAUCUUAAAGAGGGACUUGCGCCAUUUUGUGAUGACAUAGGAAGACAGCAGCACAACGAUAUUAUAAACCAAAUACAACAAACAAAGACUCCUCAACCAAACAUACCAUGUGGCGCCUGUCAGAUAACAACUCUCCAGCCAGAUCAUGUCCGAGUCUCAAAAGGGAUAUGUCCCCUCAAACAAGAUAAAUGUAACUGUUGCUUUCCAAAUAAUAACCUACCCUGUCCAAACAAUGUAUGUGGUGCCAUCUAUGACAGCAUUAUACAGAGUCAUGCAUCAAUGCCACCGGCACCUUUUUGGAAAAACAGUGAUGUCCGACAGUGGUCAACAGAACCGUGGGAGGUUUGCAAAUGUUUUAUAAAUGCUCCUGGGUACAAGGACAAGACAUCAGCAGUCGACACUGAUUGCACUGGGUUGCUUCAUGUUAUCAUAAAUAACAAUUACUUUCAUAGUCAUAUUGGAUGCAAUGUUACAGGACCAAACAAUCUUUUUUCAAAGGUAACUAGAUUUGUAUACUAUAAUUAUUAUACCCCCAAAAACGAAGUUUGGGGGGGGGUAUAUAGGAGUCACCCGGUGGUCGGUCGGUCGGUUGGUCGGUCGGACGGUCCAGACGUCCGUUGCAUUUUCCUUGUCCGGAGCAUAACUUGAAAACUAAUGGUUGGAAUUCAAUAUAACUACAUAUAAUGGUCAAGCACAUUGAGAGGAAGUGCAGUGCACAAGAACCAUAACUCUAUCUUGACUAAUUACAGAGUUAUUGCCCUUUGUUACUUUUCCUUGUCCGGGGCAUAACUUUAAAACUACUGGUUGGAAUUCAAAACAACUUCAUACAAUUGUCAAACACAAUAAGGGGAAGUGCAGUGCACAAGAACCAUAACUCUAUCUAAAGUAAUUACAGAGUAAUUGCCCUUUGUUUCUUUUCCAUUGCUUUUUUUUGUCUGUUGUAUUUUCCUUGUCCGGAGCAUAACUUAAAGACUAAUGGUUGGAAUUCAAUAUAACUACAUACAAUGGUCAAGCACAUUGAGAGGAAGUGCAGUGCGUAAGAAACAUAACUCUAUCUUGACUAAUUACAGAGUUAUUGCCCUUUGUUACUUUUCCUUGUCCGUGGCAUAACUUGAAAACUACUGGUUGGAAUUCAAAACAACUUCAUACAAUUGUCAAACACAAUAAGGGGAAGUGCAGUGCACUAGAACCAUAACUCUAUCUAAAGUAAUUACAGAGUUAUUGCCCUUUGUUGCUUUUCCAUUGCCUUCUUUUUUUUGUCGGGACCAUAACUUGAAGACUAAUGGUUGGAAUUCAAUAUAACUACAUACAAUGGUCAAGCACAUUGAGAGGAAGUACAGUGCAUAAGAACCAUAACUCUAUCUAAAGUAAUUACAGAGUUAUUGCCCCUUAUUACUUUUCCAUUGCUUUCUUUUGUCCGGACCAUAACUUGAAGACUAAUUGUUGCAAUUCAUUAUAACUUCAUACAAUGGUCCAGCACAUUCAGAGGAAGUGCAGUGCACAAGAACCAUAACUCCAUUUUGACUUAUUACAGAGUUACUGCCCUUUGUUUCUUUUCCUUGUCCAGAGCAUGACUUUAAAACUACUGGUUGGAAUUCAAAACAACUUCAUACAAUGGCCAAGCACAAUAAGGGGAAGUGCAGUGCACAAGAACCAUAACUCCAUCUUGACUAAUUACAGAGUUAUUGCCCUUUGUUACUUUUCCAUUGGUUUUGUCCGGACCAUAACUUGAAGACUUAUUGUUGGAAUUCAUUAUAACUUCAUACAAUGGUCAAGCACAUUGAGAGGAAGUGCAGUGCAUAAGAACCAUAACUCCAUCUUGACUAAUUACAGAGUUACUGCCCUUUGUUACUUUUCCUUGUCCAGAGCAUGACUUUAAAACUACUGGUUGGAAUUCAAAACAACUUCAUACAAUGGUCAAGCACAAUAAGGGGAAGUGCAGUGCACAAGAACCAUAACUCCAUCUUGACUAAUUACAGAGUUAUUGCCCUUUGUUACUUUUCCUUGUCCAGAGCAUAACUUGAAAACUACUGUUUGGAAUUCAGUACAACUUCAUACAGUUGUCAAGGACAUUAAAAGGAAGUGCAGUGCACAAGAGCCAUAACUCCAUUUUGACAAAAUACAGAGUUACUGCCCUUUGAUACUUUUCCUUGUCCGGAGCAUAACUUAAAACGUACUGGUUGGAAUUCAAAACAACUUCAUACAAUGGUCAAGCACAAUAAGAGGAAGUGCAGUGCACAAGAACUAUAACUCUAUCUUCAGUAUUUAUAGAGUUAUUGCCCUUUGUUCUUUUUCUUUGUUUUUCUGGACUUAUUACAGAGUAAUUCAAUUAAACUUCAUCAAUGGCCAACCACAUUGAAAGGAAAUGCAACAUACAUGAACCACAAUUAUCUUUAAUUGUUUCAAUUCUAUUACAAGGUAUUCUGUUACUAGUAACAUCCUCAUUUCCGAAGCAGACUUGUGGGGGUAUUAAUCACAUUUAGUGAUAGUUCUAGUUAUGUUUAUU